GUCCCUCUCAAACUCUCUCUUUCUUCUCUCUCCUCCAUCACUGCCUCAUUCUCUCUCAGACUCUCAGACGCUCUGGACGAGGUGGGCGCUUUCGUCAGGCCUAAAGCCCAGCCACCCUUGCCCCUCCCUGAGCCGCGGUGAGCUUCAAAAGCUCCGAGAGGUUUUUGAGUUUCAGACGCUAUUUCCAGCGACUCUGGCCACUGUUUUCAUGAGUGAGGUAUGGAUAUCCCUCUCCUCAUCACGCUCUAGCUGGUAUUGUAAUUAUUUUGGGUUAAUUUCGAAGUUUUCAAGUUUGAUUUUCUACACCUAUGGACGCUCAGAAGAUUCUUAAUCAGCCUCUAUGACGCCGCUUCCUGGUUAGGUCUUCAUCGUGCUUUAAUCUCCGAUCUUUUUCGUUUAUUUCUCUGUUAAUCUUGAUAGAUCUAUGCUUCAGUUUACUGAGCUCUUUGUCAUCAUCGUUAUGGAUAUCUUAUUAUUAAUUUGAUGUAUAUUUUUUAUUGUGACUUGCUAUUUGAGCCUAUUUGUCCAUAUCAUGAAUCGUAAACUUCUUUCAGUCCUUUCAAUUAUCGAUUUCUAUUUAAUGCAUUUCAAUUUCUUGUGUUUUUAAUAAUAAAUGUCUUGUUUUCUUGGCCCAAACCCUUCCAGAUCCAAUAGGGAAUUUUUGUAUCAGAAUUUGUGUGAAGUUAUAAAGGCUGGAGCAACAACUCUGAACAUUCCUGACACUGUGGGUUAUAAAAUGCCAAGUGAAUAUAGUCAGUUGAUUUCUGGCAUAAAAUCUAAUACCCCUGGAAUUGAGAAUGUUAUCAUUUUGACUCACUGCCAAAAUGAUCUUGGACUUUCUACUGUCAAUACUAUAGCGGUAUGCCAUGUUGAGCAGCCUGACUUUGCGGUUGAGGUGGAAGAAAAGAAGGUCUAUGAUCAGGCUGGUGAGGAGAAUGAAUUGAUGUUGGAUGGUGGAUUUGUGGUGCCUCCAACAAACGCAUUUGGCCACACUUUCAGGGAUUAUGAUGUUAACAGUGACCGGAGCGAUGGUGUUGAGGAAUUCUAUCGAAUCAACUACAUUAACCAAAGUGUUGACUUUGUAAGCAAACAGCUGCGGAUUACAUUUUCUUCAAUUUGGAAAAGUGCAGCUGUUUAAUUCGAACCUGGGAUUCUUAGUUCCCCAACUAACGUAUUUGGUUUAUAACAGUGGAAACUGAGAGAAGGUGAUUCACAAUUCUUGGAGGAUGAAAGCACAAAUUUUUUUGCACGUAAAGUGGCAAAUCAUUACAGUGCAAGGACGAAUCAAAUGCUGGAAGAACGAGAAGCUCGUCCAAUCAUCCAUUUAAAAAAGCUUAACAAUUGGAUUAAGAGUGUCUUAAUUCAACUCUAUGCUCGCAGAGGAGAUGCUGUACUUGAUCUUGCAUGUGGCAAGGGGCGUGAUCUCAUCAAAUGGGACAAGGCCAAAAUUGGAUAUUAUGUUGGCAUCGAUAUCGCUGAAGGCUCAGUUGUCAUGACCUUAGAUUGUCGUGGGAAUCAUGUGCUUGGGGGGCUUUAUAACAAGCAAGAUGUCCUCCUUUAUGGGUUUUGGAAGCAAAGUUUGCAAUAUGAAUUUGAGGUUGGUUUGUAAGCUGCUUUAGGUCAGAGUUAUUUGUAAGCUGCUUUAGGUCACAGAGUUAUGUGGUAUUAUCAUUCCCUCCAGUGAAGGAAGCUGUAACCUUUACAAGGAAUUCCAACAUGCGCAAGGAUCCCAUCGUGCGUAUGGAGCUAGAAGGAAGGACACGUACACCCAAAUGGAAUUGGAUGAGGUGCGAGAAGAAUUGGCAACUCAUGUCCUAGAAUGGCUUUUUGGUUGAGCUAAACAUUCCUUCAUUUUACAUGUCUUUCUAGCUAGUAUUUUGCUUAUGCAUAGACAAGUAUGGAUAAUUUGUGGUGUAGGGCUGGUAAAAUUGUGAUUUGGAUGUGACAAGUAUGGAUCAUUCAAGUAUUUUGCUUAUAUA
Non-coding RNA from Prunus avium (sweet cherry), 1979 nucleotides. NCBI's taxonomy places the organism in Eukaryota, Viridiplantae, Streptophyta, Magnoliopsida, Rosales, Rosaceae. The record is from RefSeq and is a predicted model, not a curated record.